Molecule: ribosomal RNA, 500 nt
Filed under: uncultured bacterium
Lineage: Bacteria
Description: partial 16S ribosomal RNA
Rfam family: Bacterial small subunit ribosomal RNA
Source: RNAcentral
GACGAACGCUGGCGGCGUGCUUAACACAUGCAAGUCGAACGGGCCUGUCUUCUUUUUUGGGGGGUGGGUUGAGUGGCGAACGGGUGAGUAUCACGUGAGUAACCUGCCCUUCGGUCCUGGAUAACCGCUUGAAAGGGCGGCUAAUACGGGGUGGUCCGGUUGGUCCGCAUGGGCUGGUCGGGAUAGAUUCACUGUUUUUGGUGUUUCGGCGGGGGAUGGGCUCGCGGCCUAUCAGCUUGUUGGUGGGGUGAUGGCCUACCAAGGCGGUGACGGGUAGCCGGCAUGAGAGGGUGGGCGGCCACACUGGGACUGAGAUACGGCCCAGACUCCUGCGGGAGGCAGCAGUGGGGGGUAUUGCACAAUGGGCGGAAGCCUGAUGCAGCGGCGUCGCGUGAGGGAUGGAGGCCUUCGGGUUGUGAACCUCUGUUUCCGGUGGUGAAGGCCCUGUCCGUGUGGUGGGGUUGACGGUAGCCGGGGAUGAAGCGCCGGCUAACUACGUG